GUCUGUGCAAAAAGGACCGCCAGGCCUGAAGGAUCUUCCGCUCCCACCUCUCGCUCCCUCUGGGCUUUAAAGGCUUCUCCGGCUUGGAAACAAAACCAAGCAGAUAAGGAAGGAGAUGUUUGGAUGGGAACAUGCUUUAAACAGCUGUCAGCUGCUCUCCCUGCACCCUCCUUGUUACCUGCUGGAUUUAGGCAAUAACCUGGUUUACUGCCCUGCCUGGUGCCGUCUGUGUAAUCCCUCAGCAAGGUUGUCAGGAGCUGUUGAAUUUACAGUGUGUGUAACUGAGCCAAGUGUACAUCUAAAGGAUAUAAAUUCUCUGUCUGCCUAAUUACUAGCACAUUCCCUCUGGUCUUCAAUACUGUUAGACAAAGGAUUUUCCAUUUGGGUUUUUUUUUCCCCAGGGGAACAACUUUUUAAAAUAGUAUCAAUCAAAUGUAUUUAACAUUCUGAGGUUUCCUUUUCCUGUCUCCAGAAAACUACUUUUACUUUGUUGGAUUUAAAGACGACUUUACUAUAAGAAACAAGAAAUUUGUGCAUUACUUUUAUCACAAAUAUGAGGACUCUGGCCCAGCUAAUUUUGGGACAAAUGGAUUUUUAUUUCUCUAUUCCUUAUCUCCUUUUCCUUCCCAUUCAGUUACCACCUCAGAAGUCAAAAGUACUGAGAUCUGGACCAAUGCUAACUAGCCAGAUCAUGUGUGCAAUUAAGAAUAUCCUGAGCAACUGUUGCCAAAGUCACUAAAAAUUAUUAUUUAUCACUGAGCCAGUGAGCAUCCAAAACCUUGACUUCCCACCUGGUUCUCCUGUUGAAUGGUUUUGACUAGAGAGCCAAAUCCAUCAUUUUUCAGGAUAUUUGUUUCAAGGGGUGAAAUCCUUUUCAAUCCUUGGCUAUAAUGAAGAGCUCUCCAGGAAAGUCUGAAUAGCAAAGACUUUGAAACUCCGGGCCAAAUACUGCACUGACAGACAACCAGCAUUUGGCCCCCGUGGCAAAACUGGAUGCAGACAACCUGAACAAGGGAAAAAAAAAGCCUCAGGGUGGCAAAUCUUCCUGAAGAUCAUUAAUACAGUCUCCAAAUAUGUCUGUAAGCAAGUGCAUUCAAGAAUUCUUCAAGUCUUGAAUUUUUAAGGAAGGUGAUAACAGGAGCUGCCCUAUUAUCUUACGUUUGCUUGCUUUUUUUUUUUUUUUUUUUUAAAUUAAGCAAAACAAAUGUAUUUACUCACUUUGGUUCAAGCCAGCUCCAGGGGUUGCAGAGAGCUGCGUGUCAGUAGCCACGUGCAGCAGAUGAGCUGUGGAGUGUUGCUGUUCCAGUCGCUAACCAGGCACAGAGUUGUGGCAGCUUGGCCCGAGCUGAUCCCCUCCUGGGCUGUCGGUGGACGUUCCUCAGAUGAUGCCCAAUCUCCUACAAGCCUAACGUGGAAAUUGCAAUGUGGUUUUCCUUUGGACUGUAUCUGUGGGCCAGACUAGAGAUAUAUAGAGAGAUAUAUAUAUAGUCAAUAUUUUUCUGUGUGUGGGGGGAAGAUGGGGUCAAGCUCGCUGUCUCUGACAGUGCGGAAAGUUCCUGUCGAGCCGUUUCUAUGGUCUGUAUUUCACCUGUUCUGCCACCUUGAGUUGUUGGAAUGUAUCUGUGCAGGCUUUGUGGAGCUCUGUCUGUAACCUUUUUUGUGGCUCUCGUAAUACAUAUAUAUUUUUUAAACCUCUGAGUCACUCCGGUAUUUUCGAGUGUCCGUUUCUGCCUCAGCACAUCCGUUUGCCGGGCUGGUCCGGGGUGCUCUGCCCUUCCUCCCUCCCACUCGUGCAAAUCCGGGACUGGAAGAGUAGAACUGGAAAGGCCAGUUCUGGUGCGAAGUCUGCACGUGACAAAACGUUAAAAGAAGUGACUGCAGGUUAAAUCUCAUUGUCAAGAGGCUGCUGGUAGAGUAGGAAUAUGCUCUGUCUUUAGAAGUGUCUCCUGGUUGUGACCAAUGAACCCUGUUAGUGAGGUCACAGCAAGUGCUCCAUGAAACAACCCUAAAUGAAGUUUUCUGUACUGGUUUUUGUUCAAGCUGUGGGGUUAAUAGGGAUCCUGUGAUCCAGAACACUUGCAAAUCAUUGCUACAGAGCCACUGGAAAAGAAAAUGUGUUAAUGCUAUUUGUUGAAAUGUUCUGUCCAGAUCAUCUGGGUUUAUAAAUCCCAAAGAUGUACAGUUCUUAAUCCGUCUUCAUCUGCCUCUUUCUGGUCUUUGAAAAGACGUCCAUUUGCUCUGUCAGGCUGGCUUACAACACGCACAGUUGCCAGGCCCUGCAGCUGCUGCAGGAUUUCUGAUGCCAUCAUUUGCAUAUCUAGGCUAAUUGCAUUAAGCAGGGAUCCAUUGAAGCAUGUUCUUCAUAAAUGCCACUCACAUUUGUGUGCUGUCGUGUCUUCACGUGGCAGAGAUUACCUUUUCUAGGAAAUGGCCAAACCAGGCUCCAUUGAUGCUGGCUCCAUCAAAGAGGAUUCUAUAAGCUCAUGAUCUGUUUUAAUACAUUUUAUUUAAUCGUGUCUUGGCCGACAGCAAUCUUGGCUUUCCCCUCUCUAAGUAAUGGAUAAAUUAUCCAAGUUUGUAUUCAUUUAUUCAUUAUUGUUAUUUUUUAUUCUGCAGGACAAGUUUAAGUUCACAUUUUGGAACAUAAUAAGGAGAGACAAAGGAAACUAUUUAUACAGGUGAAUAUGUCUUUUAAGGGAGAAGCAGUUUUAUAAUAAAUAGAUUAGAAUUACUACUAGAAUAGGUUUUGUUCAUCUUGUCAAAAUAACUUGAAAUUUAAAGUAAGGCUUAUUUCACAGCUGGUAUCUCUAGCCCUGAAACAUUUUUAAAAUGUCUUGGUUAGACAUUUCAAAUUAUGUGAAGAAAUAUGAUCUACUUUUACAGAUUAAAACAGUCCUAGAGAAGUGAUGGUACAUUUUCCAGUGCCUUAUAUAUAUGUGUAUAUAUUUAUAUGUAUAUAUAUAAUGCCUAUAUGUAUAUAAUGUAUAUGUAAUUGUGUACAUAUAUUCAAGUAAAACUAGUUACAGGUGUCCUACUCUGAUGUAUUUUAAAUGGAACUGAUCUGUGUUGAUAAACAAAAAGGUCAUGUCAGCAGCAAAAUACGAAAGCAAACUCACUAAAAUGUAAGCAAAUAAAGUAGACUGGAAAC
This is a long non-coding RNA of Empidonax traillii (willow flycatcher), 3148 nucleotides long. RefSeq lists it as uncharacterized. NCBI's taxonomy places the organism in Eukaryota, Metazoa, Chordata, Aves, Passeriformes, Tyrannidae. The transcript is spliced from 2 exons. The record is from RefSeq and is a predicted model, not a curated record.